This 253-nucleotide ribosomal RNA is filed under the name uncultured bacterium. Its description in RNAcentral is "partial 16S ribosomal RNA". It matches the Rfam family "Bacterial small subunit ribosomal RNA", at positions 524 to 776 of the family's 1533-position model. The record is from RNAcentral.
UACAGAGGGUGCGCGCGUUAAUCGGAAUUACUGGGCGUAAAGCGUGCGUAGGCGGUUCUGCAAGUCAGAUGUGAAAUCCCCGGGCUUAACCUGGGAACUGCGUUUGAAACUACGGAGCUAGAGUGUGGCAGAGGGGGGUGGAAUUCCACGUGUAGCAGUGAAAUGCGCAGAUAUGUGGAGGAACACCGAUGGCGAAGGCAACCCCCUGGGCCGACACUGACGCUGAGGCACGAAAGCGUGGGGAGCAAACAGG